GAUGAACGCUGGCGGCGUGCUUAACACAUGCAAGUCGAACGGAAAGGCCCAAGCUUGCUUGGGUACUCGAGUGGCGAACGGGUGAGUAACACAUGGGUGAUCUGCCCUGCACUUCGGGAUAAGCCUGGGAAACUGGGUCUAAUACCGGAUAGGACGAUGGUUUGGAUGCCAUUGUGGAAAGUUUUUUCGGUGUGGGAUGAGCUCGCGGCCUAUCAGCUUGUUGGUGGGGUAAUGGCCUACCAAGGCGUCGACGGGUAGCCGGCCUGAGAGGGUGUACGGCCACAUUGGGACUGAGAUACGGCCCAGACUCCUACGGGAGGCAGCAGUGGGGAAUAUUGCACAAUGGGCGCAAGCCUGAUGCAGCGACGCCGCGUGGGGGAUGACGGCCUUCGGGUUGUAAACUCCUUUCGCUAGGGACGAAGCGUUUUUGUGACGGUACCUGGAGAAGAAGCACCGGCUAACUACGUG
This 468-nucleotide ribosomal RNA is filed under the name uncultured bacterium. RNAcentral describes it as "partial 16S ribosomal RNA". It matches the Rfam family "Bacterial small subunit ribosomal RNA", at positions 28 to 507 of the family's 1533-position model. The record is from RNAcentral.